CCCUUAGAUGUCCGGGGCCGCACGCGCGCUACACUGAAGGAAUCAGCGUGGCUUUCUCCCUGACCCGAAAGGGUUGGGAAACCCGUUGAAUCUCCUUCGUGAUAGGGAUUGGGGCUUGAAAUUAUUCCCCAUGAACGAGGAAUUCCCAGUAAGCGCGAGUCAUAAGCUCGCGUUGAUUACGUCCCUGCCCUUUGUACACACCGCCCGUCGCUACUACCGAUUGAACGGUUUAGUGAGGGCCUCGGAUUGGUCUCGGCCCGCUCUUUACCGGGCGGCGCCGUUGGUCGAGAAGACGCUCGAACUUGAUCGUUUAGAGGAAGUAAAAGUCGUAACA
RNAcentral lists this ribosomal RNA (334 nucleotides) under uncultured eukaryote. Its description in RNAcentral is "partial 18S ribosomal RNA". It matches the Rfam family "Eukaryotic small subunit ribosomal RNA", at positions 1470 to 1796 of the family's 1831-position model. The record is from RNAcentral.